CCUACGGGUGGCAGCAGUGGGGAAUAUUGGACAAUGGGCGAAAGCCUGAUCCAGCCAUGCCGCGUGUGUGAAGAAGGCCUUCGGGUUGUAAAGCACUUUCAGUGGGGAAGAAAGCCUUGGGGCUAAUACCCUCGAGGAAGGACAUCACCCACAGAAGAAGUACCGGCUAACUCCGUGCCAGCAGCCGCGGUAAUACGGAGGGUGCGAGCGUUAAUCGGAAUUACUGGGCGUAAAGCGCGCGUAGGCGGUCUGAUAAGCCGGUUGUGAAAGCCCCGGGCUCAACCUGGGUACGGCAUCCGGAACUGUCAGGCUAGAGUGCAGGAGAGGAAGGUAGAAUUCCCGGUGUAGCGGUGAAAUGCGUAGAGAUCGGGAGGAAUACCAGUGGCGAAGGCGGCCUUCUGGACUGGCACUGACGCUGAGGUGCGAAAGCGUGGGUAGCAAACAGGAUUAGAUACCCGAGUAGUC
This 465-nucleotide ribosomal RNA is filed under the name Vreelandella stevensii. Its description in RNAcentral is "partial 16S ribosomal RNA". It matches the Rfam family "Bacterial small subunit ribosomal RNA", at positions 338 to 795 of the family's 1533-position model. Lineage: Bacteria; Pseudomonadati; Pseudomonadota; Gammaproteobacteria; Oceanospirillales; Halomonadaceae. The record is from RNAcentral.